This 496-nucleotide ribosomal RNA is filed under the name uncultured Lachnospiraceae bacterium. RNAcentral describes it as "bacterial SSU rRNA". It matches the Rfam family "Bacterial small subunit ribosomal RNA", at positions 12 to 507 of the family's 1533-position model. Lineage: Bacteria; Bacillati; Bacillota; Clostridia; Lachnospirales; Lachnospiraceae. The record is from RNAcentral.
UUUGAUCCUGGCUCAGGAUGAACGCUGGCGGCGUGCCUAACACAUGCAAGUCGAACGGGGCGCGCAGGCUGAGGCUUUUCGGAGCGGAAGCCGGCGCUGCCCAGUGGCGGACGGGUGAGUAACGCGUGGGCAACCUGCCCUGCACUGGGGGACAACAGCCGGAAACGGCUGCUAAUACCGCAUAUGCCCGCAGCCCCGCAUGGGGCGGCGGGGGAAGCUCCGGCGGUGCAGGAUGGGCCCGCGUCUGAUUAGCUGGUUGGCGGGGCAACGGCCCACCAAGGCGACGAUCAGUAGCCGGCCUGAGAGGGUGGGCGGCCACAUUGGGACUGAGACACGGCCCAGACUCCUACGGGAGGCAGCAGUGGGGGAUAUUGCACAAUGGGGGAACCCUGAUGCAGCGACGCCGCGUGGGCGAUGGAGUGCUUCGGCAUGUAAAGCCCUAUCAGCAGGGAAGAAAAUGACGGUACCUGACUAAGAAGCCCCGGCUAAAUACGUG